Molecule: ribosomal RNA, 207 nt
Filed under: uncultured bacterium
Lineage: Bacteria
Description: partial 16S ribosomal RNA
Rfam family: Bacterial small subunit ribosomal RNA
Source: RNAcentral
AGCGCAGGCGGUGCGGCAAGUCUGAUGUGAAAGCCCGGGGCUCAACCCCGGUACUGCAUUGGAAACUGUCGUACUAGAGUGUCGGAGGGGUAAGUGGAAUUCCUAGUGUAGCGGUGAAAUGCGUAGAUAUUAGGAGGAACACCAGUGGCGAAGGCGGCUUGCUGGACGGUAACUGACGUUGAGGCUCGAAAGCGUGGGGAGCAAACA